Molecule: ribosomal RNA, 468 nt
Filed under: Chloroflexota bacterium
Lineage: Bacteria; Bacillati; Chloroflexota
Description: bacterial SSU rRNA
Rfam family: Bacterial small subunit ribosomal RNA
Source: RNAcentral
GGGUUGUAAACCGCUUUUCGGGGGGAAGAGGAAGGACGGUACCCCCGGAAUAAGUCUCGGCUAACUACGUGCCAGCAGCCGCGGUAAAACGUAGGAGGCAAACGUUAUCCGGAUUUACUGGGUGUAAAGCGCGUGCAGGCGGUUUCGUAAGUCGUGUGUGAAAGCGCUCAGGCUCAACCGGGCGAGGCCAUGCGAAACUGCGGAACUGGAGGCAGGUAGAGGCGUGUGGAAUUCCGGGUGUAGUGGUGAAAUGCGUAGAUAUCCGGAGGAACACCAGUGGCGAAGGCGACACGCUGGGCCUGACCUGACGCUAAGGCGCGAAAGCAUGGGGAGCGAACGGGAUUAGAAACCCCGGUAGUCCAUGCCGUAAACGAUGCGUACUAGGUGUUGCGGUGUCAAAACUGCAGUGCCGGAGCCAACGUGAUAAGUACGCCACCUGGGGACUACGGCCGCAAGGUUAAAACACAA